AGCAGUUCUCUUGCCUCAGCCUCCCAAGUAACUGGUACUACAGUUUGUCCUCGGCUGUUACAGAGAAUUGAUACAAAAAAUGAUCAUGUGAAGAAUUUGCAUCUUCUGCAGAACUACCGGUAUCAGUCAGCAGUAGGAGAUUGUAUAAAUUCAGCCUGAGAUUCCAGAAUAUUCUGUGUAUUGACCACCACAGCAAGAAGAAAAAGUCCAUGUAGGACUGAAAUCAUAUGCUGAGCCCUUUCCCAGUGUUGGGAGCAUAUCAAGAUAUUGACACAGUUCCUGUCCUUAAGCCCUGCAGGAUUUAGGGAGUUGGUUCUGACUAACCAUUACAUCCCAAUAUUAGGUUGGCAGCAGUGGAAGUCAUACAUUGAUGCAAAAGGGGUUCCCAAGUCUCCUCUCUGCUCACCUAUGAUCUAAUCUCUUCUCGGGGGCAUCCAAAUCAGUAAAGAGGAAGUCAAACUGUCGCUGUUUGCUGAUAAUAUAAUCGUAUAUA
Molecule: long non-coding RNA, 493 nt
Filed under: Homo sapiens (human)
Lineage: Eukaryota; Metazoa; Chordata; Mammalia; Primates; Hominidae
Description: HSALNT0301481
Source: RNAcentral